RNAcentral lists this ribosomal RNA (1120 nucleotides) under Escherichia coli. Its description in RNAcentral is "partial 23S ribosomal RNA". It matches the Rfam family "Bacterial large subunit ribosomal RNA", at positions 165 to 1323 of the family's 2925-position model. Lineage: Bacteria; Pseudomonadati; Pseudomonadota; Gammaproteobacteria; Enterobacterales; Enterobacteriaceae. The record is from RNAcentral.
CAUAGGUUAAUGAGGCGAACCGGGGGAACUGAAACAUCUAAGUACCCCGAGGAAAAGAAAUCAACCGAGAUUCCCCCAGUAGCGGCGAGCGAACGGGGAGCAGCCCAGAGCCUGAAUCAGUGUGUGUGUUAGUGGAAGCGUCUGGAAAGGCGCGCGAUACAGGGUGACAGCCCCGUACACAAAAAUGCACAUGCUGUGAGCUCGAUGAGUAGGGCGGGACACGUGGUAUCCUGUCUGAAUAUGGGGGGACCAUCCUCCAAGGCUAAAUACUCCUGACUGACCGAUAGUGAACCAGUACCGUGAGGGAAAGGCGAAAAGAACCCCGGCGAGGGGAGUGAAAAAGAACCUGAAACCGUGUACGUACAAGCAGUGGGAGCACGCUUAGGCGUGUGACUGCGUACCUUUUGUAUAAUGGGUCAGCGACUUAUAUUCUGUAGCAAGGUUAACCGAAUAGGGGAGCCGAAGGGAAACCGAGUCUUAACUGGGCGUUAAGUUGCAGGGUAUAGACCCGAAACCCGGUGAUCUAGCCAUGGGCAGGUUGAAGGUUGGGUAACACUAACUGGAGGACCGAACCGACUAAUGUUGAAAAAUUAGCGGAUGACUUGUGGCUGGGGGUGAAAGGCCAAUCAAACCGGGAGAUAGCUGGUUCUCCCCGAAAGCUAUUUAGGUAGCGCCUCGUGAAUUCAUCUCCGGGGGUAGAGCACUGUUUCGGCAAGGGGGUCAUCCCGACUUACCAACCCGAUGCAAACUGCGAAUACCGGAGAAUGUUAUCACGGGAGACACACGGCGGGUGCUAACGUCCGUCGUGAAGAGGGAAACAACCCAGACCGCCAGCUAAGGUCCCAAAGUCAUGGUUAAGUGGGAAACGAUGUGGGAAGGCCCAGACAGCCAGGAUGUUGGCUUAGAAGCAGCCAUCAUUUAAAGAAAGCGUAAUAGCUCACUGGUCGAGUCGGCCUGCGCGGAAGAUGUAACGGGGCUAAACCAUGCACCGAAGCUGCGGCAGCGACGCUUAUGCGUUGUUGGGUAGGGGAGCGUUCUGUAAGCCUGUGAAGGUGUGCUGUGAGGCAUGCUGGAGGUAUCAGAAGUGCGAAUGCUGACAUAAGUAACGAUAAAGCGGGUG